GACGAACGCUGGCGGCGUGCCUAAUACAUGCAAGUAGAACGCUGAAGGAGGAGCUUGCUUCUCUGGAUGAGUUGCGAACGGGUGAGUAACGCGUAGGUAACCUGCCUGGUAGCGGGGGAUAACUAUUGGAAACGAUAGCUAAUACCGCAUAAUAGUAGAUGUUGCAUGACAUUUGCUUAAAAGGUGCAAUUGCAUCACUACCAGAUGGACCUGCGUUGUAUUAGCUAGUUGGUGGGGUAACGGCUCACCAAGGCGACGAUACAUAGCCGACCUGAGAGGGUGAUCGGCCACACUGGGACUGAGACACGGCCCAGACUCCUACGGGAGGCAGCAGUAGGGAAUCGGCGGCAAUGGACGGAAGUCUGACCGAGCAACGCCGCGUGAGUGAAGAAGGUUUUCGGAUCGUAAAGCUCUGUUGUAAGAGAAGAACGAGUGUGAGAGUGGAAAGUUCACACUGUGACGGUAUCUUACCAGAAAGGGACGGCUAACUACGUG
RNAcentral lists this ribosomal RNA (495 nucleotides) under uncultured bacterium. Its description in RNAcentral is "partial 16S ribosomal RNA". It matches the Rfam family "Bacterial small subunit ribosomal RNA", at positions 28 to 507 of the family's 1533-position model. The record is from RNAcentral.